This 445-nucleotide ribosomal RNA is filed under the name uncultured bacterium. RNAcentral describes it as "partial 16S ribosomal RNA". It matches the Rfam family "Bacterial small subunit ribosomal RNA", at positions 338 to 795 of the family's 1533-position model. The record is from RNAcentral.
CCUACGGGUGGCAGCAGUCGAGAAUCAUUCACAAUGGGGGAAACCCUGAUGGUGCGACGCCGCGUGGGGGAAUGAAGGUCUUCGGAUUGUAAACCCCUGUCAUGUGGGAGCAAAUUAAAAAGAUAGUACCACACGAGGAAGAGACGGCUAACUCUGUGCCAGCAGCCGCGGUAAUACAGAGGUCUCAAGCGUUGUUCGGAAUCACUGGGCGUAAAGCGUGCGUAGGCUGUUUCGUAAGUCGUGGUGGAAAGGCGCGGGCUCAACCCGCGGACGGCACAUGAUACUGCGAGACUAGAGUAAUGGAGGGGGAACCGGAAUUCUCGGUGUAGCAGUGAAAUGCGUAGAUAUCGAGAGGAACACUCGUGGCGAAGGCGGGUGCCUGGACAUUAACUGACGCUGAGGCACGAAGGCCAGGGGAGCGAAAGGGAUUAGAUACCCUGUAGUC